Molecule: ribosomal RNA, 468 nt
Filed under: uncultured bacterium
Lineage: Bacteria
Description: partial 16S ribosomal RNA
Rfam family: Bacterial small subunit ribosomal RNA
Source: RNAcentral
GACGAACGCUGGCGGCGUGCUUAACACAUGCAAGUCGAACGGAAAGGCCCUGCUUUUGUGGGGUGCUCGAGUGGCGAACGGGUGAGUAACACGUGAGUAACCUGCCCUUGACUUUGGGAUAACUUCAGGAAACUGGGGCUAAUACCGGAUAGGAGCUCCUGCUGCAUGGUGGGGGUUGGAAAGUUUCGGCGGUUGGGGAUGGACUCGCGGCUUAUCAGCUUGUUGGUGGGGUAGUGGCUUACCAAGGCUUUGACGGGUAGCCGGCCUGAGAGGGUGACCGGCCACAUUGGGACUGAGAUACGGCCCAGACGCCUACGGGAGGCAGCAGUGGGGAAUAUUGCACAAUGGGCGGAAGCCUGAUGCAGCAACGCCGCGUGCGGGAUGACAGCCUUCGGGUUGUAAACCGCUUUCGCCUGUGACGAAGCGUGAGUGACGGUAAUGGGUAAAGAAGCACCGGCUAACUACGUG